ACAGGGUGGUUAGUGGCGACGGGUGAGUAACACGUGGGCAAUCUGCCCUUCACUCUGGGACAAGCCCUGGAAACGGGGUCUAAUACCGGAUAACACUCUGUCCUGCAUGGGACGGGGUUAAAAGCUCCGGCGGUGAAGGAUGAGCCCGCGGCCUAUCAGCUUGUUGGUGGGGUAAUGGCCUACCAAGGCGACGACGGGUAGCCGGCCUGAGAGGGCGACCGGCCACACUGGGACUGAGACACGGCCCAGACUCCUACGGGAGGCAGCAGUGGGGAAUAUUGCACAAUGGGCGAAAGCCUGAUGCAGCGACGCCGCGUGAGGGAUGACGGCCUUCGGGUUGUAAACCUCUUUCAGCAGGGAAGAAGCGCAAGUGACGGUACCUGCAGAAGAAGCACCGGCUAACUACGUGCCAGCAGCCGCGGUAAUACGUAGGGUGCGAGCGUUGUCCGGAAUUAUUGGGCGUAAAGAGCUCGUAGGCGGCUUGUCACGUCGGAUGUGAAAGCUCGGGGCUUAACUCCGAGUCUGCAUUCGAUACGGGCUAGCUAGAGUGUGGUAGGGGAGAUCGGAAUUCCUGGUGUAGCGGUGAAAUGCGCAGAUAUCAGGAGGAACACCGGUGGCGAAGGCGGAUCUCUGGGCCAUUACUGACGCUGAGGAGCGAAAGCGUGGGGAGCGAACAGGAUUAGAUACCCUGGUAGUCCACGCCGUAAACGUUGGGAACUAGGUGUUGGCGACAUUCCACGUCGUCGUGCCGCAGCUAACGCAUUAAGUUCCCCGCCUGGGGAGUACGACGCAGCUAAACUCAAAAGGAUGACGGGGCCCGCACAGCAGCGGAGCAUGUGGCUUAAUUCGACGGC
This 854-nucleotide ribosomal RNA is filed under the name Streptomyces sp. RNAcentral describes it as "bacterial SSU rRNA". It matches the Rfam family "Bacterial small subunit ribosomal RNA", at positions 83 to 958 of the family's 1533-position model. The record is from RNAcentral. Lineage: Bacteria; Bacillati; Actinomycetota; Actinomycetes; Kitasatosporales; Streptomycetaceae.